Molecule: non-coding RNA, 621 nt
Organism: Pelobates cultripes (western spadefoot toad)
Lineage: Eukaryota; Metazoa; Chordata; Amphibia; Anura; Pelobatidae
Source: the annotation of a GenBank genome assembly
GUCAUAUCGCCCAAGGGAACUGCCCGUAUUAGGAGUCUCCUGAUAUCUGGCCGGCAUGGUCCCAUUGGGUGUAACAUUGUGCUUGAGAACAAAAAGCACAACAAAAAAAUAUCAAACGCAUAAACAAUCAACAGCUUAAGCUGUGACUUCUACAGCCGCUCUUUUGGGAUCAUGGUCAACCGCUUUUCCAGUCAGGGGACAGAGGCAUUCUCCAAUCCAGCUCUUGGCACAAAUGUCACGAUGUGGGUUGGGUCCCAAGUCUGCGGAGAAGUUUGGCUAGGAGUAGCAGGUGUCAAGUUCAUGUGACCAAAGGCUGUGAGAAGUGUAGGCACUUCUGCCCCUGAGGAGAUUCUGUGCACAGUUCCACUGUGGGUGACAAUAAGUGAUCUUGGUGCCCCUAAGUGAUAUGCCACCCCUGUUGAGCACAGUUGACCAGUAAGUUGGUUGAGAGAUUUGUGCCACUGGCAUGUGGCCUUGAUUAGGUCGUGGUAGAAGGAUAAGUUGGAGUCUUCUAAGGUGAGUGGAGACUUGCCGCUCAGGGCAGCCAUGAUUUGGGCCUUAUCCUGUGGUAGAGAGCAGCACAUGAUGAUGUCCCCGGUCAGAGGUUUUGUGGGUGACCCC